Molecule: long non-coding RNA, 236 nt
Filed under: Mytilus galloprovincialis (Mediterranean mussel)
Lineage: Eukaryota; Metazoa; Mollusca; Bivalvia; Mytilida; Mytilidae
Source: RNAcentral
UUUUUUUUUAAAGUGGGGCGAGUUGGUGAAAAAGUGGGGCGAUUAGGUGUGGGGCGACUUGCCAGUGGGGCGACUUGUCCUGCUUCCGUGCAAGAGAUAUGACUCUCUCUUAACACGGGUCAGCCAAUUUUCGUCCCCUUCCAACGGACUAUCAUCGUUACUUUAGUUUAUUGCUUUUGGUUGGUUUUUUUCUGUCGGGCAAGAAUGUAAAAAAUACAAAAUCAAAUUUACAGAAC